RNAcentral lists this ribosomal RNA (332 nucleotides) under uncultured bacterium. RNAcentral's name for it is "bacterial SSU rRNA". It matches the Rfam family "Bacterial small subunit ribosomal RNA", at positions 8 to 334 of the family's 1533-position model. The record is from RNAcentral.
AGGGUUCGAUUCUGGCUCAGGACGAACGCUGGCGGCGUGCCUAACACAUGCAAGUCGAACGGGGCUAGGAAAGCUUGCUUUCCGAAGCCUAGUGGCGGACGGGUGAGUAACGCGUGAGUAACCUGCCUUUCAGAGGGGAAUAACGUUCUGAAAAGAACGCUAAUACCGCAUAACGUACAGUUACCGCAUGGUAGCAGUACCAAAGGAGCAAUCCGCUGAAAGAUGGACUCGCGUCCGAUUAGCUAGUUGGUGGGGUAAAGGCCUACCAAGGCGACGAUCGGUAGCCGGACUGAGAGGUUGAACGGCCACAUUGGGACUGAGACACGGCCCAG